GAUGAACGCUAGCGGCAGGCUUAACACAUGCAAGUCGAGGGGCAGCGGGGGGCGCGCUUGCGCGUCCCGCCGGCGACCGGCGCACGGGUGAGUAACACGUAUGCAACCUGCCCCCGCCAGGGGUACAACCCUCCGAAAGGGGGGCUGAUACCGCGUACAUCCCCCGGGGGCAUCCCCGGGGGAGGAAAGCCCUACGGGGCGGGCGGGGAUGGGCAUGCGGCGCAGUAGGAAGACGGCGGUGUGACGGACCACCGUUCCGACGAUGCGUAGGGGUUCUGAGAGGAAGGCCCCCCACACUGGUACUGAGACACGGCCCAA
Molecule: ribosomal RNA, 318 nt
Filed under: uncultured bacterium
Lineage: Bacteria
Description: partial 16S ribosomal RNA
Rfam family: Bacterial small subunit ribosomal RNA
Source: RNAcentral